This 406-nucleotide ribosomal RNA is filed under the name uncultured bacterium. Its description in RNAcentral is "partial 16S ribosomal RNA". It matches the Rfam family "Bacterial small subunit ribosomal RNA", at positions 30 to 526 of the family's 1533-position model. The record is from RNAcentral.
AUUGAACGCUGGCGGCAGGCCUAACACAUGCAAGUCGAACGAGUGGCGGACGGGUGAGUAAUGUCUGGGAAACUGCCUGAUGGAGGGGGAUAACUACUGGAAACGGUAGCUAAUACCGCAUACCAUCAGAUGUGCCCAGAUGGGAUUAGCUUGUUGGUGGGGUAACGGGUUACCAAGGCGACGAUCCCUCGCUGGGCUGAGAGGAUGACCAGCGACACUGGAACUGAGACACGGUCCAGACGCCUACGGGAGGCAGCAGGGGGGAAUAUUGCACAAUGGGCGCAAGCGUGAUGCAGCCAUGCCGCGGGUAUGAAGAAGGCCUUCGGGUUGUAAAGUACUUUAAGUGGGGAGGCGUUACCCGCAGAAGAAGCACCGGCUAACUCCGUGCCAGCCGCCGCGGUAAUUC